CUACUGAACUUCACCUUCUACUGCAUCUAAUUUACCUUUGCUAACAAGCUGUUAAUUUGGAUAUUGGUGAUGUGUUAACACCACAGCAAAGAUACUUUAUCUGAGGUAUAAAUACUUUAAUACAGACAUGUUAAGCCACAGCUAACAGCCAGGUGAUCUGUUGGAGCUGUUUAGUUUUCAGUUAGCCCAAAUACUGUAACAAUGUUAGUUUUCUUUAUAGGCCUAUUGUUUUCAAUGUACUAUCUGUCAGACAACACUAAUGUAUUGUUUCUUUUCUCAAACAAACAGAAGAUACAUACACUCCAGUGCAUUUGUUGGUAAGUAUAAGUGUUUUGACCAAGACUGACAACAAACAAAAUAAAAAUAACUGGACUAAUGUUAAACAACAUUUCAUUCAAGAUAAUUUACAACAUAUGCUGCAUUUUUCAAAUACUGAGCUCAAAGUGAUAAGAAAUGUUGAUCUAUCUGUAACACUGUUGCAUAUCUUAUCUGAGAAUUAUAGAUGGGAUACAGUUUUUUCCUUGUAGACAACAGUGUGCUAAAAAUAUUACAACUCUAUUAAAUUAACUUAUUUGAAACAUUUUAACUUGCUUGGAAAGUCUAAAUCUUGAUUUUGACAAUUAAGUGGGAAAAUCAUUCAUUUUAUUUUAUUCCUUUUUUUGAAAAAGACUAAUGUUUGUUUCCAUUGUGUCUUACAGGUACCCUGUCCAGUCUCCCCACUCUCCCCUAUCAUUUUGGCCACUCUGACUUUCCUGUCUCCUCUACCACUCUGUCUUAUUGAAAAGCCACUCUAUCUUGUGUCCCCCUUGUCUCUAUCCCUCUUGCUAAGUUUGGUUACUCUGACUUUCCUGUCUCCUCUACCACUCUGUCUAAUUGAAAAGCCUUUGAGAAACCUUUCUGGAACAAGCCUUUGAGAAACCUUUCUGGAACAAGCCUUUGAGAAACCUUUUUGGAAUAAGCCUUUGAGAAACCUUUUGAAAUUGCCAUCCUUUGAGAAACCAUUUGAAAUUGCCAUCGUUAUAAACCCUUCUGGAACAACCUUUUGAGAAAUCUUUUUGGAACAAGCCUUUCAGAAACUAUUUGAAAUUGCCAUCUUUUCAAGAGACCAAUUGAAACUGCCAUCUUUAAGAAACCAUUUGAGACAAGCCUUUUUAGAAACCACUGUAAUAAACAUAUCUGAGAAACUAUUGUAAUAAACAUCUCUGAGAAACUAUUGUGAUAAACAUAUCUUAGAAACAAUUGUAAUAAACAUCUCUCAGAAACCUACUGAAACAAGCUACAUUUUUUGAGUAACUAUUGAAACAACCUACCUUUCUUUGAGAAACCUUUUGAAAAACUUAC
Xyrichtys novacula (pearly razorfish) is the source of this 1341-nucleotide non-coding RNA. The record is from the annotation of a GenBank genome assembly. NCBI's taxonomy places the organism in Eukaryota, Metazoa, Chordata, Actinopteri, Labriformes, Labridae.